Molecule: ribosomal RNA, 2904 nt
Filed under: Clostridium perfringens
Lineage: Bacteria; Bacillati; Bacillota; Clostridia; Eubacteriales; Clostridiaceae
Also listed under: 1 other name
Description: 23S ribosomal RNA
Rfam family: Bacterial large subunit ribosomal RNA
Source: RNAcentral
GGUCAAGCUACAAAGGGCGCAUGGUGAAUGCCUUGGCAUCAGGAGCCGAUGAAGGACGUGAUAAGCUGCGAUAAGCUUCGGGUAGGCGCACAUAGCCUGAGAUCCGAAGAUCUCCGAAUGAGGAAACUCACAUGGGAAACCCCAUGUAUCAUUAAGUGAAUACAUAGCUUAAUGAAGGUAACCCAGGGAACUGAAACAUCUAAUUACCUGGAGGAAGAGAAAGAAAAAUCGAUUUUCUUAGUAGCGGCGAGCGAAAGGGAAAGAGCCCAAACCGGAAACUUGUUUCCGGGGUUGAGGACAUAACAUAAAGAGAAGUAAUGGCUAAUUGAAGAGAACUGGAAAGUUCCACCGUAGAAGGUAAUAGUCCUGUAAAUGAAAGCUAGUAUAAUCGAGUUAUGAUCCAGAGUACCACGAGACACGUGAAACCUUGUGGGAAGCUGGGAGGACCACCUCCCAAGGCUAAAUACUACCUGAUGACCGAUAGUGAAGCAGUACCGUGAGGGAAAGGUGAAAAGAACCCCGGGAGGGGAGUGAAAUAGAACCUGAAACCGUGUGCCUACAACCGCUCAGAGCCCCUUAUGAGGGUGAUGAGGUGCUUUUUGUAGAACGAGCCAACGAGUUACGGUAUGUAGCAAGGUUAAGUACUUAAGGUACGGAGCCGAAGGGAAACCGAGUCUGAAUAGGGCGACUAGUUGCAUGCCGUAGACCCGAAACCGGGUGACCUAUCCAUGGCCAGGUUGAAGCGAGGGUAAAACCUCGUGGAGGACCGAACCACGUUGCUGUUGAAAAAGCAUGGGAUGAGCUGUGGAUAGCGGAGAAAUUCCAAUCGAACCCGGAGAUAGCUGGUUCUCUCCGAAAUAGCUUUAGGGCUAGCGUCGAGUAUGAGUAGUGGAGGUAGAGCACUGAAUGGGCUAGGGGGCAUAGCGCUUACCGAACCUUAUCAAACUCCGAAUGCCACAUACUUUGAGCUCGGCAGUCAGACUACGAAUGAUAAGAUCCGUGGUCAAAAGGGAAACAGCCCAGAUCGUCAGCUAAGGUCCCAAAGUGUAAGUUAAGUGGGAAAGGAUGUGAGAUUUCUAAGACAACUAGGAUGUUGGCUUAGAAGCAGCCAUUCAUUAAAAGAGUGCGUAAUAGCUCACUAGUCGAGAGAUCUUGCGCCGAAAAUGUAACGGGGCUAAACUUACCACCGAAGCUACGGGCUUGAACUUAGUUCAAGCGGUAGGAGAGCGUCGUAACCGGGCUGAAGUCGUACCGUAAGGAGCGGUGGACUGGUUACGAGUGAGAAUGUUGGCAUCAGUAGCGAGAUGUGGGUGAGAAUCCCACAGGCCGAAAACCUAAGGUUUCCUCAGGAAGGUUCGUCCGCUGAGGGUUAGUCGGGACCUAAGCCGAGGCCGAAAGGCGUAGGUGAUGGACAACUGGUUGAUAUUCCAGUACCACUACCAUCGUUAUUAUCGAUGGCGUGACGCAGGAGGAUAGUGUGUGCUAGCUAUUGGAUGCUAGUCUAAGCGUUUAGGCAGUGAGAGUAGGCAAAUCCGCUCUCAUAAUGCUGAGACGUGAUGGGGAAGGUUCUACGGAACCGAAGUACAUGAUUCCACGCUGCCAAGAAAAGCGUCUAGAGAGAGAAGUAGUGCCCGUACCGCAAACCGACACAGGUAGGUGAGGAGAGAAUCCUAAGGCCGGCGGAAGAAUUACAGUUAAGGAACUCGGCAAAUUGACCCCGUAAGUUCGCGAGAAGGGGUGCCUACGAGAGUAGGCCGCAGAGAAUAGGCCCAAGCAACUGUUUAGCAAAAACACAGGUCUCUGCUAAAGCGUAAGCUGAUGUAUAGGGGCUGACGCCUGCCCGGUGCUGGAAGGUUAAGGGGAACACUUAGCGCAAGCGAAGGUGUGAACUUAAGCCCCAGUAAACGGCGGCCGUAACUAUAACGGUCCUAAGGUAGCGAAAUUCCUUGUCAGGUAAGUUCUGACCCGCACGAAUGGCGUAAUGACUUGGGCACUGUCUCAACUGUAAAUCCGGCGAAGUUGUAGUGCGAGUGAAGAUGCUCGCUACCCGCGAUUGGACGGAAAGACCCCGUAGAGCUUUACUGUAGCUUAGCAUUGAGUUUUGGUAUUGUCUGUACAGGAUAGGUGGGAGAUUAGGAAACCAGGGCGUCAGCCUUGGUGGAGUCAACCUUGGGAUACCACCCUGACAGUACUGAAAUUCUAACUGGCGGCCAUGAAUCUGGUCACAGGACAUUGUUAGGUGGGCAGUUUGACUGGGGCGGUCGCCUCCUAAAAAGUAACGGAGGCGCCCAAAGGUUCCCUCAGAACGGUCGGAAAUCGUUCGAAGAGUGCAAAGGCAGAAGGGAGCCUGACUGCGACACCCACAAGUGGAGCAGGGACGAAAGUCGGGCUUAGUGAUCCGGUGGUACCUCGUGGGAGGGCCAUCGCUCAACGGAUAAAAGCUACCUCGGGGAUAACAGGCUGAUCUCCCCCAAGAGUCCACAUCGACGGGGAGGUUUGGCACCUCGAUGUCGGCUCGUCGCAUCCUGGGGCUGAAGUAGGUCCCAAGGGUUGGGCUGUUCGCCCAUUAAAGCGGCACGCGAGCUGGGUUCAGAACGUCGUGAGACAGUUCGGUCCCUAUCCGUCGCGGGCGUAGGAAAUUUGAGAGGAGCUGUCCUUAGUACGAGAGGACCGGGAUGGACUGACCUCUGGUGUACCAGUUGUUCCGCCAGGAGCACAGCUGGGUAGCUAAGUCGGGAAUGGAUAAACGCUGAAAGCAUCUAAGCGUGAAGCCAACCUCAAGAUGAGAUUUCCCAUAGCGUAAGCUAGUAAGAUCCCUUGAAGAACACAAGGUUGAUAGGUCGGGGGUGUAAGCAUGGUAACAUGUUCAGCUGACCGAUACUAAUAGAUCGAGGGCUUGACCAA